AGGUCGGGGCGGGAGGCUUACCAUGCAAGUCGAGCGGAACGGUACCAGCUUGCUGGUAGGCGUCGAGCGGCGGACGGGUGAGUAAUACUUAGGAAUCUACCUAGUAGUGGGGGAUAGCUCGGGGAAACUCGAAUUAAUACCGCAUACGACCUACGGGAGAAAGGGGGCAGUUUACUGCUCUCGCUAUUAGAUGAGCCUAAGUCGGAUUAGCUAGAUGGUGGGGUAAAGGCCUACCAUGGCGACGAUCUGUAGCUGGUCUGAGAGGAUGAUCAGCCACACCGGGACUGAGACACGGCCCGGACUCCUACGGGAGGCAGCAGUGGGGAAUAUUGGACAAUGGGGGAAACCCUGAUCCAGCCAUGCCGCGUGUGUGAAGAAGGCCUUUUGGUUGUAAAGCACUUUAAGCAGUGAAGAAGACUCCUCGGUUAAUACCCGUGGACGAUGACAUUAGCUGCAGAAUAAGCACCGGCUAACUCUGUGCCAGCAGCCGCGGUAAUACAGAGGGUGCAAGCGUUAAUCGGAAUUACUGGGCGUAAAGCGAGCGUAGGUGGCUUGAUAAGUCAGAUGUGAAAUCCCCGGGCUUAACCUGGGAACUGCAUCUGAAACUGUUAGGCUAAAGUAGGUGAGAGGAAGGUAGAAUUCCAGGUGUAGCGGUGAAAUACGUAGAGAUCUGGAGGAAUACCGAUGGCGAAGGCAGCCUUCUGGCAUCAUACUGACACUGAGGCUCGAAAGCGUGGGUAGCAAACAGGAUUAGAUGCCCUGGUAGUCCACGCCGUAAACGAUGUCUACUAGUCGUUGGGUCCCUUGAGGACUUAGUGACGCAGCUAACGCAAUAAGUAGACCGCCUGGGGAGUACGGCCGCAAGGUUAAAACUCAAUGAAUUUGACGGGGGCCCGCACAAGCGGUGGAGCAUGUGGUUUAUUCGAUGCAACGCGAGACCUUACCUGGUCUUGACAUAUCUAGAAUCCUGCAGAGAUGCCGGGAGUUGCCUUCCG
This 995-nucleotide ribosomal RNA is filed under the name uncultured bacterium. Its description in RNAcentral is "bacterial SSU rRNA". It matches the Rfam family "Bacterial small subunit ribosomal RNA", at positions 33 to 1023 of the family's 1533-position model. The record is from RNAcentral.